CGAAGCCUCGAAACACACAGAGAGAAAGGGAAAAAGUACCAACAAACAGGCAGCACACCUACACAAACAACGAAAGCCCUAAAGACACGCAUACUCACACACACACGCGCACAUACAUAUAUAUCUACACGAACACACGGAAGACAUAUCGUCUGCGCUGCCGGCAGUGUGUUGCCUCAGUGAGCCUAAUACUAAAGAGAAGCACUACAAGGUGGCACUGUCAUUCCACUCUGCUGUUUUGUUCACUUGUCGUUUUCGUUUGUAUUUAUUAUUUUCAUACGACACUCCACGUCACCAUCAGCACAGCUUCUUAUCUUGCCAGGCCCCUCCUUCCUUUAUCUUUCCCUCUCGUGCCUUCUUCACAUCAUUAUCAAAAAAAAACACGCACGUCUUUGGACGUUUGCGCGCGCUGUGUGCGUGCGUGAGUUGUCUUGCUCUCUCCUUUUCUCUUGUAUCUCUUCGGUGCUUCGUCGGCGUCCUUGUUCCUCUGCUUCUUCCUUUGGGUUUUAGCCCCCUUUUCUCUCUCUCUCUCUCCUACCUCCCUCUCCUGGUGUGUCGGUGUGCUCCUGCCUCCGUGCGCUCUCGCUUUCUUGGGCCUCGUUUUUUUUCUCCCUCGCUCCCUCUCUCUCUGCGUGCGUGUGUGUGUGUGUGUGUGCGUGGACUGUGCAGUUCACACACAGGCAUACACGCCCACACACGUCCAUACGCACGGGCUGAUGGUUGUGGGGUGGGACAAACAAAAGACGAAAACAAACCUCUAGCAAAGCCGCCGCAUCAGCAAGAAGAGAAAGCAGAGGCGCAAGAGAGCAUCACCGUGCGAGCACGAAGUGGACGUGCUCUUUCUUUUUGAUUUCUUCUUGUCUUUUAUACCCCACCCCUCCCCUCUUUCGCACCUUGUGCCGACGCUCUGUUGCUUCUCCCUUCAUUUGUUUGUUGUGUCAGUCUUCCGCCGUCUCACGUGUCCUGCUUCGGCUGUGUUUUUGCCUUUCUAGCGCUUGAAGCUUCUUCCCUGCACCCAAUCCCCCGGCCUCGUGCUUCACCUGCAGCACUAUUUACCUCUUUCUUUCUCUCCUCUCGGCCCCUCCUGUUGUGGAUUGCGUGUCCCUUCACUCCAUGCACCGUCUCUGUGGUUGUGAAAGCUACCUCUUCUAGCAAACUUCAAGACGCAGCCAUUUCAGCCCACUCACCUCUUCUGUCCUGGGCUCAUUUUUUUUUUGCUUGCCCUCCCCCCCCCCACCCAACGCUCUCUGCCCGUGUUUUUUCCUCGCGCGCGCUCUCUCGCUCUCCUUCUCUCGUCAACUCCUUCUUUGCUGCUACUGCCGCUUGUGCCGGUACACUGGUGCUGGAGAGGUGGUCUCAACUGCCUCCUCUGUUUUGAGGCAACGCACGCAAGCUAUUGGUGUGGGUGCGCACCAAGCGGAGAAGGUAAUCACGUUUGGUAUUGCAAUCAUCGUCACGGCAGACCGCUUUAGGUGCGCACGCACACGCACACGCACACACACAUUCUGCGUGCAUGACUUCAAAGAGGAAGCACUCGCUGCCUGACAUUGCCAUCCUUCUUGUUUGCUGUCUUUCUCUCUCCUUGCUUGUUUUUCUUCCGUUGAGGUCAGCUGGUCGCUUCGUCUCGGGGAAGGCCGCUGAGGCGACCGACGAGGGGGUCUAGCCAACUCUUGUCGAGGGACGGACACACGCCAUAGGGGCUCUUUGCCACAGGAAAGGAGGGUCGAUCACCCAUCGUCCGCAAUUCGGGCUUUGCGCAUUGAUCGCGGGUUUGGCCACGGCCUUUGUUUCUUUUUAUUAUCAUUUAUGAUUUUCGAUUCGACUUUAUAUCGGCGAUUUUGCUUACAUUUUUCAUUUUUUUUAUUUGGCUGGCUCGCUCGUUAGCUCGUUGGUUCGCUGGGAUUGUCACGAAUCGCCUUUAUCGUCAUCUGCAAAGAGUGAUCGCGCGCGGGAGGGAAUAGGGGGUAGAGGUAAGAAAACGGAAGUGUUUCGUUCGAAGACGCACAAACGCCCCCCCCUCGUCCUCCCCACUCGCAUAUACGAGCUGUGCGUGGUUGAGGAGUGCGUUCGCGUGUGUUCUGGCUUGCACCGACCGCUGCGGCACAGCGUGUCGAAAAGCAUUCGGCGCGGCACCCUUCCCUCGCCAUCCCCGUUCCCCCCCCCUCCACGCCCGCCAAUGAGUCAAUGGCAGUCGAUUGUGCUUUUGACGCUGCGCCAUCGCCUAAGGCAGCUGCUAUGGCAGAAUUAUGUGACUGAGUCCGAGUCUGAGAUGAGCUGCUCGCCACGGAGCAGCAUCACCACGCCGGCGGUCAUAGAGGCCCCGCGUGUCGUACACGAAUGUGUCGAUGUGAAUGCCGCGCCCCUGGCGAAGGCGACCCGUUUAGCUGCAUCUUAUAAUUCCAAGUCGUCCCCGCCACCGUGCGCGGGAAAGGUAUCUGGUCCGCACCGGCCGCAAUCGCAUCCCGCAUCACUGACUUCAUCGUCAGCUUCGCCAUGCUUUGAUGGGCAUGAACUUACAUCCGCUUCGCACGGUCGCCACCUCGGCAGGCGCGCAUCGCCGCGACGGGCAGCGUUCAUAUUUCUGCUGCUGCAACUGCUGCAGAUGCUGUGGGCAGACUUUGGGCCUCCAUUGCACAACUUCUCAGGAUCCGAUGGCCAAGCGGCGAUGGGCCCGAUCUUGUUUGCCGAGGCCACAACAGUCCACUACCGCGGCUCCGUGUACCACGGCCUUACGGAGGAGAUGCUGCAGCGCGGCGGCAGCACCUUCUCCAUUCAGGUGUCCAUCCCAACGUUUCCGACGAACAUUACGCUCGUUCGCUCCAUCAUGAUGUCCAUCCUGACGAGCAACGUUCGCCUUGUCGACGACGCCGGGACUUUCGUGCGCCGCAUGCAGCCGGCGGCGCAAGGCGAGGCGGCGGCACAUGCGUUCAAUCACACGAAGGCGUGGCUGACGUGGCGGCGCUUUGUGAAAGAUAUUCUUUCCCAUAGCGAGAUCGAGGUUAGCCCGAAUGGGCAUGCCGUGAAGGUGAGGUUUGCGAGUGGGAAGUGGGUGCUGCCGGCUCAGACGUCAGCCCUCAUCGUCCCCUGUCUGCCCUUUUCCUUGUUCGAGCAGCUGGGCAGGCUCGGGGUGCAGGACUUGCCGAAUAACUGCCUCGCCGGAGACCCUUUUUUUGUGAGCAAGAAAUCAUUUUUGCAGCUGGACGAGGCACGAUGGAACCCGUCGCAGCAAGUGCUCGUCACCGGUGGGCCCAUCUCCAUCCCUCUCGCCGGCACCUCCAGCACCGUUUCUGACAAGGCCGAGCUGGAGCGACGGCUUCGCGUGAUGGAGGGGUACACGUGUCUGCACACGCGCAGCGCCUUUGUGCGUGGCAGCCGCUGGGACGUCCGCGGCAGCGUCUACCGCUUUACCCCACACCGUGGCGGUAUGCAGACCCUCUGCUACGUGCCCUAUCCAGACACGCUGCCAUUUCUGAGCGUGAAGUUGAUGGACUCGUACGAGGUGGCGGGCCCAGAAGGGGUCUCGACAGAUCCGCCACAGGUUCACGCGGACCUAGAGUUCUCCGGCACCAUCUACGGCACCAACCUGACGGAGCGCGACACGGUGGUCAUUACGGAUGAGCUGUGCGCCGACUUCACGUCGCAGAACGUCUUCUUCGUCGACCUCUUCUUCAGCAGCAGCUCUCGAGUGAGCUUCUUCGGCACAUUCCACAAGCGCGGUAUUUAUCACGUGUGCUACCACCGCGAAGGUUCCCCUAUGUACGUGCUGGUGUCGACGUUAUUGGUAGAGCGGGGUGCGGAUGUCGUAAUCGAUAACGACAGCCCGAAUGUGCUGAUAGACCAGGACGUCAAGCUGCUGCAGUCCGCCUCCGUCUCGCGGCUCAAUGUCCAAGACAAGGGAAACCUCAACCUGCGCCAGCGCAGCCUGAAUGUGUCGUACUUCCUCUGGUCUGGAGGCAGCAUCUCUGGCAGAGGCACCAUCAAUUGCACCGGGUACGCGAAGAUCACCACCCAAGGCUACGAGACGCGGCUGCUGUCGGUGCCGCUCUACAACUACGGCGAGAUGACGAUCGACGUGCAGCGGCUGUCCAUGGAACGAGACGGGGCGAUCCACAACUACGGAAACCUGACACUAGCCGUCUCGAGCAUGGGAGUGGACAGCAUCAGCAGCGUUCUCUCUGCUGGGCGGCGAAACGCGAUCACGAACUACCCAGGGGGCGUCAUUCGCAUCAUGGCGCUCGACGAGCGAUCCUACGCGCUGCUCACUGGCCGCUUCAUCUUCCAAGGUGGGUCAGUGCUGCUGUUGGGAAAGAUCAACCUCACCGAUGCCUCCAGCUUUGCAGAUUCGACCGUGACGCUGAAGAGUGGAACGCUUCUCACAACCCACAAGAUGCACCUUGGCGGCGCCGUGGUGGUGGAGGAGCGAUCUGUUCUGACUCUGAUGAAGGGGUGUGUCUUCGUUUCGGCGACCGUCUCGGGCGAUGGCGUGGUGCGGCUGCUGGGGGAUGACGUGGUGCUCAACUCGCUCACGGUGACAGGCUCCAUUCGCGCUCUUUUCGGCGUAGGUAUGACCGACCCGAUCUCCGUCAUCGCCUACGGCACUACGCACUUUGGCGAGGAUACCCUAGUGCACGUGACGAACGCCAACUUCGUGACCUCUAGCGGGCUCGCCAAGGUGACAUUUCUCGGCCGCCUCCUCGCCGACUUUGUCACGGUGCGUUUCACUGGCAACAUGAUUCUGCAAAUCGGCGGCGUGGCAGCGCUGUACGGCAACAUGUCCGGCGAAGCCCUCAACUUCCGUCGCACCCUCACCAAGUUGUCCGGCUACUCGCUGCCGCUCGCCAUGGCGUCUUUUGUGUCGCGAAAUGCGACCAUGUUUGUGAUCGACACCUUCCGCCUGGACGAGGCGGUCGAUGCCAGCGCGCGCGGCGGCUCGUCCACUGCGAAGGGCAUCGUCUCCUCGUUGGACCCCUUCAACAAAAGCAUCUUUAGCGGCCCGGCGGCCGUGGAGACGCAAGCGUGUGAAGUGUAUCUGCCGACGUCGCAGCGUCUAACGGUGAGCGGGCGGCUUGUGCUGCGUGGAUGUGUGCAGGUGCCGGCAGGCGGCACCAUCAGCGGCGCGGUGGUGAAGCUGGAGGACUCGGCGGACUGGGAGCUGCUGCACCAGACGUUUUGCAUCUUUGCCGAUCCGGAGACGCUGCCGCACCUCUGCCGGCACAACCGUCGCAGCGUACCGCCCCUGCGGAGCGGCUUGGCGCUCAGCGAAAAGGUAUACGUGCGCAGCCCGGCGUCUUUCUUGCUUGACGAGCUCACCCUCGUUCACAGCCACACGCGUGUCACGGAGUCUGUCCCCAUCACCAUCAAGGACACAAUCAUCGUGCGGGUCGGCUCCACUCUUGUGCUGGCCUAUGGCAUAGUGAUGGCAGCGCGCCACAUCAUCAUCGAGGGCACCCUUGUUGUGAACGACCCGCGAAACACAGUUUUGAAGGGCCUGGUGGAGGUGAAGGAGGAGGGCAUCAUCGAGCUACGCGGUGUCUCCGGGAUGUCGUGCGCGAACGAGCUUCUGGUGGAGGGGCGCCUCUACCUCGCGCCGAACGCGCGAGGGUUCCACUUCCGUUGCCUGAGCGCCAGCGAUGACGACAUCGGCGGCGAGGACAGCGAGGCGGCACCGGCCGACCCGGAGGGCGGCGAAACCAUGAAGCCGAUGGGCCGUCUCGACGCGCUGCUGCGCAAGCGGGCCCUGGCGAACCUCCGGCCUGACAUGACGUGCCCCGAUGACGUCGUCCACGAUUACGACUCACGCCGCCAGUUCAUCAACCUGUACUGGAUGCGCCAGGCGUACGACCCGCCAGCUGACCAGCCGACGCGGCGCGACAUGAUCUGGAUGACGCUUUUCGGCAUUGCCUGUUGCUUUGGCACAUUUCACAUCCUGCUGACUAUGUGGGGGUACACAUACAAAAAGUGGUGGAGCGAUAUUCGGACGCCGUGUCCACUGCAGCUCACCCUAACGUGGGAUGAGCUGAGCUACAGCGCCGUCAACUACUUCUCCUUCUGCAGAUUCAUCAUCAUCCACCUCCUGAACACCAUGGCCGCCUUUCACCCGGGGCUGCCAGCGCCGUUGCCGUCGGUGGCUGGCAUGCUUCUGCGCGGGAUGGGGCUGCUCAUGCCGCACCACCAGACACCGAUCAGUCGCCCCCGAAAGGUCGGCAUCUUCUACAUUGUGUGGCUCUUCACAUUCCUCUACGUGAAAAAGCGGGGCAGCUGGCUGAUAUCGUAUCUGCGCCGCAGGCACCCAUAUUUGCUAGAUGUUGUGCAGAAGCUCUACACGGUGCUGACCAUUCUCAACUUCAUUUUUCUAGCGCCGCUCAUGUCGUCUGUGGUGGACGCGAUUGCGUGGCCGACCCUGCUGCGCAACGUGCCCACGUACGAACUGAUGCAGCAAGACAUCUGGGUCGCCAUCUCCAUCAUUUCCUUCUUGUCGAUGGGUGUCAUGGCACCCUCGAGCAUUUUGACGAACCAGAUGUUUAUCCCUCACAUGGAUCUUCGGGUGCGAGCGUCGAACAUGUUUGUGCACUUCGCGGCGCAGAUGUGGGAAACGGUUAUGUGGAAGGUCUUCUACAACAACCCGAUGUGCGUGGUCUUCAACUGCAUCUUCUUUCAGUUCAUCCGGCUCGCCUUCUUGUUAUGCUUUCCGGCGACGCCGUACAAGAACGUGAACCGAUUCAUGAUGUUCUUGUUGAUGCAGCCCUUCCUCGUGUACCUUGCCAUCAUCCUGUACGUGGUGCUGGUGCGCACCGGGGUGUACACGAGCUGCACGCAAGGCACCGACUUGUUCCGCGUCGUCGCGGCGGCCUUCGUCAUCUCGCUCUUCGUCAACUUUUGGCGCAACGUGCUCUUUACGCAGGAGCAGACGACGGCCACAGGUGACGUCUCUAUCGACGCCCUGCGUUGCUCCAUGACCCAGAUUCGCAACCGCAUCCACGACCUGAAGUUUGAGGUGUACGCGUGCACCGACGCAAUGGAACGGGAGAACAUCCUCAACGCCAUUGCCCGGAUGCGGAUCGAGUACCUGGAGAAGCAGGAGCGCUACCGCUUCGAGACACACCGGAUUCUGCGGCCGUUCUUCUUCAGCGGGACCGGCUUCGACGGCGAUACACACUUGCAGUCGCACAGCAGCGUCGCCUCGUACAGCAACGACGAUGGCGACGACGCAUCCAACGUGCAUCCGGCUAUGUCACCGAACAUGCAGCAAGGUACCCUUCUCAGUGUGGAGGAGAUGGAGACCUUCAGCUGCGGUCCAGCGCUGGGCAAAGGCAGCUACGGCACCGUGCACCUCGGCAUUCUCACAAACGGCAAGAUGGUGGCCGUCAAGUACGUGAACGUCGUUAGCGAGAGCCCCGAGGCUCUGGCAAGCGUGGAGGCGGAGGUGAACAUGCUGCGUGAGUUGUCCCACCCGAACAUUAUCCGCUACUUUGGCGCACACACGAUCCAAGACACAAUGCUGGUGUUCAUGGAGUUCGCCGUCGGGGGCAGCUUGACCUCCAUUGUGAAGAAAUUCACGCACCUCACGGAGCCUGUCAUGCAACUCUACACAUUCCAGAUCUUGAAGGGGCUUCAGUACCUACACGACAAGGGUGUUGUGCACCGCGACAUCAAGGGCGAAAAUAUUCUCAUCGACGGCUAUGGCGUGGCGAAACUGGCGGACUUUGGAUGCAGCAAGUCACUGGCGAACAUAGCAAACUCCAGCCAGGUGGGCUGUGGCACGCUGGUGGGGUCCCCGUUUUGGAUGGCGCCGGAGGUCAUUCGGAGCGAGGCGUACGGCACCAAGGCGGACAUCUGGUCUGUUGGGUGCACCGUCGUAGAGAUGCUCAACGGUGGCGAGCCACCGUGGCGAGAGGAGUUCGACAACGUUUACUCCGCCAUGUUUUAUGUGGGCUCGACUAACGACAUCCCGCAGAUCCCAGCGGAGACGUCGGACCCGUGCCGCGAUUUCCUCUUCCGCUGCUUCGAGCGCGACGUCAUGAAGCGGGCCUCAGCGGACGAGCUGCUCCAGCACCCGUGGCUGAAGUCGGCUGCUGCGGCGUCCCACGCGGAGGACUCGAGCGAUAACUUCUUGUCCUUCUCGACUGUUUCGUCCCCGUCGCUCAAAUCAGCAUACGACGGGCACCGCACUGCGGGUUUCUCGCGCAGCACCCCGCACAGCUCUCGCGAGGACCUGACGUCACCGCUGAACGGCAGCACCGCUCCCCAGCCACCAAACGGCAGCAUCGCUAGCAUCACCUCUAAUGCCUCCAAGAAGUUCAAAUAAGCGGCUGCACGCAGAGACAUUACUUGUGCAGGUAUCGAGAGGCGAAAACGAAAAGGCACUCAUGAUGCCUUCUUGCGACUACUUCUUCGCAUUCUCGCUUCAGUUGGCGCACACCGGUCGCCGUCUGUGGACGGUCUGCUCACGUGUUGAUGUGUACAUACUCUGCGUGUGCGUGUGCUUCCACUCUCCCCUCCCUCCGCCCUCUUGCUGUAGCGGUGGGCCAACGUGCUUUUCACUCUUCUUUAUCUCUUGUGGUGUUCUUACCAUCGCCAUCCUCG
This 8583-nucleotide unclassified non-coding RNA is filed under the name Leishmania donovani. Its description in RNAcentral is "gene:LdHU3.30.4100(CDS-product:protein_kinase-lik e_protein)". Lineage: Eukaryota; Euglenozoa; Kinetoplastea; Trypanosomatida; Trypanosomatidae. The record is from RNAcentral.